UACGGAGGGGGCUAGCGUUGUUCGGAAUUACUGGGCGUAAAGCGCACGUAGGCGGCUUUGUAAGUUAGAGGUGAAAGCCCGGGGCUCAACUCCGGAAUUGCCUUUAAGACUGCAUCGCUAGAAUUGUGGAGAGGUAAGUGGAAUUCCGAGUGUAGAGGUGAAAUUCGUAGAUAUUCGGAAGAACACCAGUGACGAAGGCGACUUACUGGACACAUAUUGACGCUGAGGAGCGAAAGCGUGGGGAGCGAACAGG
RNAcentral lists this ribosomal RNA (253 nucleotides) under uncultured bacterium. RNAcentral describes it as "partial 16S ribosomal RNA". It matches the Rfam family "Bacterial small subunit ribosomal RNA", at positions 524 to 776 of the family's 1533-position model. The record is from RNAcentral.